RNAcentral lists this ribosomal RNA (654 nucleotides) under uncultured Actinomycetes bacterium. Its description in RNAcentral is "bacterial SSU rRNA". It matches the Rfam family "Bacterial small subunit ribosomal RNA", at positions 232 to 885 of the family's 1533-position model. The record is from RNAcentral. Lineage: Bacteria; Bacillati; Actinomycetota; Actinomycetes.
CGCGGCCUAUCACCUUUUAGGUGGGGUGAUGGCCUACCAAGGCUUUGACGGGUAGCUGGCCUGAGAGGGUGACCGGUCACAUUGGGACUGAGAUACGGCCCAGACUCCUACGGGAGGCAGCAGUGGGGAAUAUUGCACAAUGGGCGAAAGCCUGAUGCAGCGACGCCGCGUGAGGGAUGGAGGCCUUCGGGUUGUAAACCUCUUUCGCUCAUGGUCAAGCCGCAACAUUGGUUGUGGUGAGGGUAGUGGGUAAAGAAGCGCCGGCUAACUACGUGCCAGCAGCCGCGGUAAUACGUAGGGCGCGAGCGUUGUCCGGAAUUAUUGGGCGUAAAGGGCUUGUAGGCGGUUGGUCGCGUCUGCCGUGAAAUCCUCUGGCUUAACUGGGGGCGUGCGGUGGGUACGGGCUGACUUGAGUGCGGUAGGGGAGACUGGAACUCCUGGUGUAGCGGUGGAAUGCGCAGAUAUCAGGAAGAACACCGGUGGCGAAGGCGGGUCUCUGGGCCGUUACUGACGCUGAGGAGCGAAAGCGUGGGGAGCGAACAGGAUUAGAUACCCUGGUAGUCCACGCUGUAAACGUUGGGCACUAGGUGUGGGGGCCACCCGUGGUUUCUGCGCCGUAGCUAACGCUUUAAGUGCCCCGCCUGGGGAGUACGG